ACGCUGGCGGUGUGCUUCAUACAUGCAAGUCGAACGAUAAGGUCCCUUCGGGGAUACAUAAGUGGCGGACGGGUGAGUAACACGUAGAAAAUCUACCUCGAGGAAGGGGACAACAGUUGGAAACGACUGCUAAUACCCUAUAUGAGCUGGGCUGAAACGCCUAUCUUGAAAGUUCCGGCGCCUUGAGAUGAGUCUGCGUCUGAUUAGCUAGUUGGUGGGGUAAAUGCCUACCAAGGCGACGAUCAGUAGCUGGUUUGAGAGGAUGACCAGCCACAAUGGGACUGAGACACGGCCCAUACUCCUACGGGAGGCAGCAGUAGGGAAUUUUGCGCAAUGGGGGAAACCCUGACGCAGCAACACCGCGUGAACGACGAAGCCCUUCGGGGUGUAAAGUUCUGUCAGUAGGGACGAAUUUUGACGGUACCUACAAAGGAAGCAUCGGCUAACUACGUGCCAGCCGCUGC
This 464-nucleotide ribosomal RNA is filed under the name uncultured bacterium. RNAcentral's name for it is "bacterial SSU rRNA". It matches the Rfam family "Bacterial small subunit ribosomal RNA", at positions 33 to 518 of the family's 1533-position model. The record is from RNAcentral.